Long non-coding RNA from Mastomys coucha (southern multimammate mouse), 230 nucleotides. RefSeq lists it as uncharacterized. The record is from RefSeq and is a predicted model, not a curated record. The transcript is spliced from 2 exons. NCBI's taxonomy places the organism in Eukaryota, Metazoa, Chordata, Mammalia, Rodentia, Muridae.
AGCAGGGUGUGGCUCCUAGCAGGAACUUCUGGAGAGGCAAAGAGGCAGGACAAAGGGGCUUUCUUUAUUUCAGGAACUCCACCCAAGUGGGCUAGCUGCUUUGUGGCAAGGACAAGCUAUUGGACAAGGGAGCUGGUUAAUACCAACAAGAAUGAUCAACUUUCUGGGAUUCAACUCGACAAAGGGCAGACCAAGGAUUUAAAGAAGUUAAUAAACUAUACAGAAUAUAA